RNAcentral lists this ribosomal RNA (308 nucleotides) under uncultured bacterium. RNAcentral describes it as "partial 16S ribosomal RNA". It matches the Rfam family "Bacterial small subunit ribosomal RNA", at positions 505 to 807 of the family's 1533-position model. The record is from RNAcentral.
GAGACAGCAGUAGCCGCGGUAAUACGAAGGGGGCUAGCGUUGCUCGGAAUGACUGGGCGUAAAGGGCGCGUAGGCGGCGGCCAAAGUCAGGCGUGAAAUUCCUGGGCUCAACCUGGGGGCUGCGCUUGAUACUUGGUUGCUUGAGUGGGGAAGAGGGUUGUGGAAUUCCCAGUGUAGAGGUGAAAUUCGUAGAUAUUCGGAAGAACACCAGUGGCGAAGGCGACUGACUGGACAAGUAUUGACGCUGAGGUGCGAAAGCGUGGGGAGCAAACAGGAUUAGAUACCCCGGUAGUCCCUGUCUCUUAUAC